Molecule: long non-coding RNA, 286 nt
Filed under: Panax ginseng (ginseng)
Lineage: Eukaryota; Viridiplantae; Streptophyta; Magnoliopsida; Apiales; Araliaceae
Description: long non-coding RNA (PGIN_LNC008660)
Source: RNAcentral
UUUGAUGUUGACAGCUCUUUCUGGUAAAGAUGUCGCUUUAUUAGAGAGAUGAUGCUCUAACUCAUAGGGAUAUCGUUGUUGCUGAAGGGGAUGAUGUUACAUCCAUCCGAGAUAUCGCAUGUAGUUGGAAGUGGAUCUAUUGGCUCGUGUAGAAACCCUUGGGUAGGAGAUCACAAUGUUACCUCCUUCUUCUGAGAGGGAAUUCAUGUUGGACUUGAUAGCCCGCAUACACACUGAUUUGUAGAUGGGCUUGUAUUUUCCUGCACAGACUAGCUUAGCCAUUUUG